GACGAACGCUGGCGGCGUGCUUAACACAUGCAAGUCGAACGGAAAGGCCCUGCUUGCAGGGUACUCGAGUGGCGAACGGGUGAGUAACACGUGGGUGAUCUGCCCUGCACUUCGGGAUAAGCCUGGGAAACUGGGUCUAAUACCGGAUAGGAGCCAUUUUUAGUGUGAUGGUUGGAAAGUUUUUUCGGUGUAGGAUGAGCUCGCGGCCUAUCAGCUUGUUGGUGGGGUAAUGGCCUACCAAGGCGGCGACGGGUAGCCGGCCUGAGAGGGUGGACGGCCACAUUGGGACUGAGAUACGGCCCAGACUCCUACGGGAGGGAGCAGGGGGGAAUAUUGCACAAUGGGCGCAAGCCUGAUGCAGCGACGCCGCGGGGGGGAUGACGGCCUUCGGGUUGUAAACUCCUUUCGCUAGGGACGAAGCUUUUUGUGACGGUACCUAGAUAAGAAGCACCGGCUAACUACGUG
This 465-nucleotide ribosomal RNA is filed under the name uncultured bacterium. RNAcentral's name for it is "partial 16S ribosomal RNA". It matches the Rfam family "Bacterial small subunit ribosomal RNA", at positions 28 to 507 of the family's 1533-position model. The record is from RNAcentral.